This 88-nucleotide microRNA precursor is filed under the name Dasypus novemcinctus (nine-banded armadillo). RNAcentral's name for it is "miRNA (ENSDNOG00000027198.1)". Lineage: Eukaryota; Metazoa; Chordata; Mammalia; Cingulata; Dasypodidae. The record is from RNAcentral.
CUCCUUAGAAAUGUAAAUUCUCAGGACCCACUCUAGACCUACUAAAUCAGAAUCUCUGGGGUUGGAGCCCAGGAAUCUGUAUUUUAAC